GCGGUAGGCUUAACACAUGCAAGUCGAACGGUAACAUAGCUAGCUUGCUAGCUGAUGACGAGUGGCGGACGGGUGAGUAACGCGUAGGAAUCUACCUAUUAGUGGGGGACAACCUGGUGAAAACCAGGCUAAUACCGCAUACGCCCUACGGGGGAAAGCAGGGGAUCUUCGGACCUUGCGCUAUUAGAUGAGCCUGCGUUAGAUUAGCUUGUUGGUGAGGUAAUGGCUCACCAAGGCGACGAUCUAUAGCUGGUCUGAGAGGAUGAUCAGCCACACUGGGACUGAGACACGGCCCAGACUCCUACGGGAGGCAGCAGUGGGGAAUAUUGCGCAAUGGGCGAAAGCCUGACGCAGCCAUACCGCGUGUGUGAAGAAGGGUUUAGGCUCGUAAAGCACUUUAAGUAGGGAGGAAGGCCUGUAAAUUAAUACUUUGCAGGAUUGACGUUACCUACAGAAUAAGCACCGGCUAACUCCGUGCCAGCAGCCGCGGUAAUACGGAGGGUGCAAGCGUUAAUCGGAAUUACUGGGCGUAAAGCGCGCGUAGGCGGUUUGUUAAGCGAGAUGUGAAAGCCCAGGGCUCAACCUUGGAACUGCAUUUCGAACUGGCAGGCUAGAGUACAAGAGAGGGUGGUAGAAUUUCCUGUGUAGCGGUGAAAUGCGUAGAUAUAGGAAGGAAUACCCAGUGGCGGAAGGCGGCCACCCUGGCUUGAUACUGACGCUGA
This 722-nucleotide ribosomal RNA is filed under the name gamma proteobacterium IMCC15053. RNAcentral describes it as "bacterial SSU rRNA". It matches the Rfam family "Bacterial small subunit ribosomal RNA", at positions 39 to 749 of the family's 1533-position model. Lineage: Bacteria; Pseudomonadati; Pseudomonadota; Gammaproteobacteria. The record is from RNAcentral.